CAACGAAUAUUGGGCAAUGGGCGAAAGCCUGACCCAGCGACGCCGCGUGCGGGAUGAAGCCCUUCGGGGUGUAAACCGCUGUCAGGGUUAGGGAAGCAAUGCGCGCAAAUAGUGCGCAAAGUUGACCCAUCCCAGAGGAAGCCACGGCUAACUCCGUGCCAGCAGCCGCGGUAAGACGGAGGUGGCGAGCGUUACUCGGAUUCACUGGGCUUGGAGCGGGUGCAGGCGGCUGCGCAAGUCCGGAGUGAAAUCCCUCGGCUCAACCGAGGAAUUGCUUUGGAUACUGCGUGGCUUGAGGCAGGUAGGGGCAAGUGGAACGUUUGGUGUAGCGGUGAAAUGCGUAGAUAUCAAACGGAACGCCGGUGGUGAAGACGGCGUGCUGGACCUGUCCUGACGCUCAGACCCGAAAGCGUGGGAAGUGAACC
RNAcentral lists this ribosomal RNA (425 nucleotides) under uncultured prokaryote. RNAcentral describes it as "bacterial SSU rRNA". It matches the Rfam family "Bacterial small subunit ribosomal RNA", at positions 355 to 774 of the family's 1533-position model. The record is from RNAcentral.